RNAcentral lists this ribosomal RNA (465 nucleotides) under uncultured Klebsiella sp. RNAcentral's name for it is "bacterial SSU rRNA". It matches the Rfam family "Bacterial small subunit ribosomal RNA", at positions 338 to 795 of the family's 1533-position model. Lineage: Bacteria; Pseudomonadati; Pseudomonadota; Gammaproteobacteria; Enterobacterales; Enterobacteriaceae. The record is from RNAcentral.
CCUACGGGCGGCAGCAGUGGGGAAUAUUGCACAAUGGGCGCAAGCCUGAUGCAGCCAUGCCGCGUGUGUGAAGAAGGCCUUCGGGUUGUAAAGCACUUUCAGCGGGGAGGAAGGCGGUGAGGUUAAUAACCUCAUCGAUUGAUGUUACCCGCAGAAGAAGCACCGGCUAACUCCGUGCCAGCAGCCGCGGUAAUACGGAGGGUGCAAGCGUUAAUCGGAAUUACUGGGCGUAAAGCGCACGCAGGCGGUCUGUCAAGUCGGAUGUGAAAUCCCCGGGCUCAACCUGGGAACUGCAUUCGAAACUGGCAGGCUAGAGUCUUGUAGAGGGGGGUAGAAUUCCAGGUGUAGCGGUGAAAUGCGUAGAGAUCUGGAGGAAUACCGGUGGCGAAGGCGGCCCCCUGGACAAAGACUGACGCUCAGGUGCGAAAGCGUGGGGAGCAAACAGGAUUAGAUACCCGUGUAGUC